GACGAACGCUGGCGGCGUGCUUAACACAUGCAAGUCGAACGGAAAGGCCCUGCUUUUGUGGGGUGAUCGAGUGGCGAACGGGUGAGUAACACGUGAGUAACCUGCCCUUGAUUUUGGGAUAACUUCAGGAAACUGGGGCUAAUACCGGAUAGGAGAUCAUGCUGCAUGGUGGGGGUUGGAAAGUUUCGGCGGUUGGGGAUGGACUAGCGGCUUAUCAGCUUGUUGGUGGGGUAGUGGCUUACCAAGGCUUUGACGGAUAGCCGGCCUGAGAGGGUGACCGGCCACAUUGGGACUGAGAGACGGCCCAGACGCCUACGGGAGGCAGCAGUGGGGAAUAUUGCACAAUGGGCGGAAGCCGGAUGCAGCAACGCCGCGUGCGUGAUGACGGCCUUCGGGUUGUGAACCGCUUUCGCCUGUGACGAAGCGUGAGUGACGGUAAUGGGUAAAGAAGCACCGGCUAACUACGUG
This 468-nucleotide ribosomal RNA is filed under the name uncultured bacterium. RNAcentral describes it as "partial 16S ribosomal RNA". It matches the Rfam family "Bacterial small subunit ribosomal RNA", at positions 28 to 507 of the family's 1533-position model. The record is from RNAcentral.